This is a long non-coding RNA of Argentina anserina (silverweed cinquefoil), 1157 nucleotides long. RefSeq lists it as uncharacterized. NCBI's taxonomy places the organism in Eukaryota, Viridiplantae, Streptophyta, Magnoliopsida, Rosales, Rosaceae. The record is from RefSeq and is a predicted model, not a curated record. The transcript has 5 exons.
UCGCGAUCGAUGUACUGUUCCUAAGGAGGAAGUUAUGGUUUUGCUCUCAAAUACCGCCCUCGGUGAUUUUCUUCUCCGCUGGUUCGCUCUAUCCUGAAGCUUCUUUUUUCUGUUUCUUUUUUGGCAUCAUUCUUCCCUCUGUUCUUCCAUUUUAGUCGUGCCCCGAAAUCAAACUCCUUCCCUACACCCUGCACUUCAAUACAUUUAUUCUUCCUCUCACUCUACCGUCUGCACCGCUUCGUUUCCUAAAGCUUCUUCUCCUUUCUGCUAUUUGUUUUUGGGAACGUUUUUGCUUCUCCGUCCAAUCGAACCGUCAUUCAUUUUAGGGUUUAUUUUAUGGGUUUUUCCCAAAGAUCUUUAUAUUCGCUUCAAAUCACUAUAUUUGGGUCUUCAGGGUUUGUCAUCAUCAGCAAGGAGCCAAGGAGUGAAGGUGAUUCGGGGUUAUUUGGAAUCCCGUAAAUGACUGAUUAAGCUUCUCUCUCUCUCUCUCUCUCUCUCUCUCUCUCUGUUGGUCACGGUUACUCAGAUUGCAAGGUAUCUGAUUCCGAUGAUUCACUUACAGGAACUAAAUCUCAAGCAUCGGCUUGCAGUGGCUUGAGCUUCUUUUGAGUUUGAGGGAACGAUUGUGUAAGUAAAGAAUCUUCUCCUGAGACCCAGACAGAAAGGAACAAGGUGAGGGAAGUGGGAAUCUUGACCAAAUAUUUUCUGCGAUCCAAAGGAACUGUUUUGCUAUCGAUUGGAAGAAUUCUGAUAGGGUUGUGAUCGGAACAGUGCUAAACGUUUGUCGGCUCAGAUACGGUUCUCUUCUAAAUUGAUCAUACUCAUUUUCUUGAUCUUUGUUUUCUAUCUAGAUAUUUCUGUUAUAAAGCAUUGGAUCAAGGAGAAUCGUUCUACUCUCUAUCAUGGAUUUGUUACCUGCUUUUGGUUGGAUGAUAAUAAUCAUGACAAAAAGGCCUAUAAAUCAAGGAAUGCCCUUUAUUGAAAUCUAGAAUGUCAUCUCAUGUGCAUCUAUAGCUCUUAAGCUUGGGAAUUAUUGAAUCAGUCGUACCACUAAUUGAAGUUGAGGUGAAAAAAGAGAAGACAAGAAGGGGAAUUGGUAUACAGAAGUGCAGGUAGAAUUUAUAUAGCAUCAUGUACAAGUUAUACUUAUACCAAGC